Molecule: long non-coding RNA, 1412 nt
Filed under: Equus asinus (donkey)
Lineage: Eukaryota; Metazoa; Chordata; Mammalia; Perissodactyla; Equidae
Description: lncRNA (ENSEASG00005032846.1)
Source: RNAcentral
UUUAUAACCUCAAAUGUUUCCUCACCAAGAGCUAUAAAUUGCUUAAAUCACUUAAAUUGGAGAUUUCAGUGGGAUUUUUAGCAGUAAAUAAAUUCCUAAACUCGUCAGUUAUAGAAUAUUCGAGGCAUAUAGAAGUGUUCUUUUCCUACACAGCAUAUCCAAAAUGGAGUUUAACCAGUGGUUCACAAGGCAAAUAGCAAAGCUGCAAACCACUUAGGGAGCCAUAAAUUACGAAUAUCUACGCUUUCGAAAACCUGUCAGUUGGUAUCAAUCUUUUUAUUUUUGAAGUAUGACUGCUAUGAAAUGACCACAUUCAUUAGCAUGCCACCUAAAAAGCAUUAAUUUGUAGAAUAAAUCAAUCAAGUUUUCUUGAGCUCUUGAAGUAUAAUAUAGUUCCUUCAUUUAAGAAUAUUUCCUGGGGCAGGCCCUGUGGCCCAGUGGUUAAGUUUGCGCGCUCCGCUUCAGAGGCCCAGGGUUUUGCUGGUUCAGAUCCUGAGCCCUGACAUGGCACCUCUCAUCAGACCAUGUUGAGGUGGCAUCCCACAUGCCACAACUCAAAGAACCCACAACUAAAAAUACGCAACUAUGUACCAGGGGGCUUUGGGGAGAAAAAGGAAAAAUAAAACCUUUAAAAACAAGCAAACAAACAGAAUAUUUCCUUUAAUUUAUUCACAGAAUAUUAGGCAUAUUUUACAUGACUGCCUGCACUUACAAUUUAGUUAAUAGAGCAGAAAUUCUCCAACAUUGUAACAGACCAAGUGAUGCCCACUUACAGCCAUAAAAAUACAAGUUGGGAGAAAGAUUUAGUACUUUGAUGUUAGAAUUGAUCCAGAGGCACAGAAGGAUUUUAUGGAUGUUCAGGGGAAAGCAGAAAGGGCCUCCUCUCUAUUAAAGAGAGUUUUUAAACCUCUGAUGUAUACAUCUCUCUGAAACGCACUCUCAGAAGAGGAAGUUGUCCUAAAGAAGAGAAUCCUUCUAGGUUUUGAGCUCAUUCUUUCUCCAGGUGGCCUGUUCUAUUCUUGGACAAGCUUUUCUUGCUAGAAAAGUCUUUCUACCCUGAGCCAAAAUCUGUGUCCCCUAACUUCACACAGUUGGCCCACUUCCAAGCUCUGGAGACUUCUAGGCCUUCUUCAGCCAGGCCGCAGGCGCCAGUCCACGGGCACAGCACGCCAGCUCUCUCCUUGUCCGCAGCACAGCACGCCGUCACAGCAGGCUCGGCGACAUCCAGGUCGGAACCCACGACAUCGCCCGCUCCGAAUCCACGUGGCUGGCGGGCCCUCAAUUCGCGCGGCUUUCUCGUAACACAUCGGAGAAUAUUUUCGGCGGAGACGCUGGGACACCGGCGAGGACGCGUCGAGGCUGCCCCGGGGCUCUCGGCGCCCGCAGGCACAGGGCGCAGACGCGGCUCGGCC